Otolemur garnettii (small-eared galago) is the source of this 111-nucleotide unclassified non-coding RNA. It matches the Rfam family "Y RNA". Rfam says of the family: Y RNAs are components of the Ro ribonucleoprotein particle (Ro RNP), in association with Ro60 and La proteins. NCBI's taxonomy places the organism in Eukaryota, Metazoa, Chordata, Mammalia, Primates, Galagidae. The record is from Ensembl.
GGCUGGUCCGAAGGUAGUGAGUGAUCUCACUUGAUUAUUCCCUCAGUUACAGAUUGAAUUCCUUGUGCUUCUCUUUCCCUCCUUCUCACUACUGCACUUGACUAGACUUAA